This is a long non-coding RNA of Rosa chinensis, 175 nucleotides long. RefSeq lists it as uncharacterized. NCBI's taxonomy places the organism in Eukaryota, Viridiplantae, Streptophyta, Magnoliopsida, Rosales, Rosaceae. The transcript has 3 exons. The record is from RefSeq and is a predicted model, not a curated record.
AGAACUAAUUGAGCUUCUUGUUGCCAAACAAGAAGCAGAUCCUGAGGAUUUAAGAGAAGGUCAGAAACGGAUGAUGGCAUUGUUCCAUGUGAAAAUAUUCUCAUUCCAGCUGGAGUAAAAUAUUUACAGUAUUUUGGUCGAAUAUGGAAGGACCAGUCACAUAUUCAAUUGGUAU